AUUGAACGCUGGCGGCAUGCUUUACACAUGCAAGUCGAACGGCAGCGCGGGCUUCGGCCUGGCGGCGAGUGGCGAACGGGUGAGUAAUAUAUCGGAACGUACCCAGAAGUGGGGGAUAACGUAGCGAAAGUUACGCUAAUACCGCAUACGAUCUACGGAUGAAAGCAGGGGACCGCAAGGCCUUGUGCUUUUGGAGCGGCCGAUAUCUGAUUAGCUAGUUGGUGAGGUAAAGGCUCACCAAGGCGACGAUCAGUAGCUGGUCUGAGAGGACGACCAGCCACACUGGAACUGAGACACGGUCCAGACUCCUACGGGAGGCAGCAGUGGGGAAUUUUGGACAAUGGGGGCAACCCUGAUCCAGCAAUGCCGCGUGAGUGAAGAAGGCUUUCGGGUUGUAAAGCUCUUUUGUCAGGGAAGAAACGGGAGUGGCUAAUAUCCAUUCCUAAUGACGGUACCUGAAGAAUAAGCACCGGCUAACUACGUGCCAGCCGCCGCAGUAA
RNAcentral lists this ribosomal RNA (500 nucleotides) under uncultured bacterium. RNAcentral describes it as "partial 16S ribosomal RNA". It matches the Rfam family "Bacterial small subunit ribosomal RNA", at positions 30 to 523 of the family's 1533-position model. The record is from RNAcentral.